AUACUCCCUCUACGCUCCAUGUCUGAUGAAAUUACACAACUUCCCUCAUGAUCAGCAGUUUUGUAAUGUGCACAUCAUGAUAAUGGGUGGCGUCAAGGCGUCGUGGAAUGCCAUGGAGUUCUGGCCAGUUCGCGACAAGCCUGUGUUGAUGAACAUGCAGACCGUCCGGUCAGUCUUCCGUGUGGAUCAGGUGGAUUACGUCAGCUUUGCUGGCAGCAGUAGUUCCCCCCAGAAUACCUGUAUCUACCAGAAGGCCACGUGUGACUACCAAGGAUCUGAGGAUUGCCUGAGGACGAAUUUGCGAUGCUCGGAAGCGGAGA
This is a long non-coding RNA of Branchiostoma belcheri (Belcher's lancelet), 320 nucleotides long. RefSeq lists it as uncharacterized. The record is from RefSeq and is a predicted model, not a curated record. NCBI's taxonomy places the organism in Eukaryota, Metazoa, Chordata, Leptocardii, Amphioxiformes, Branchiostomatidae. The transcript has 3 exons.